This 465-nucleotide ribosomal RNA is filed under the name uncultured Klebsiella sp. RNAcentral's name for it is "bacterial SSU rRNA". It matches the Rfam family "Bacterial small subunit ribosomal RNA", at positions 338 to 795 of the family's 1533-position model. The record is from RNAcentral. Lineage: Bacteria; Pseudomonadati; Pseudomonadota; Gammaproteobacteria; Enterobacterales; Enterobacteriaceae.
CCUACGGGUGGCUGCAGUGGGGAAUAUUGCACAAUGGGCGCAAGCCUGAUGCAGCCAUGCCGCGUGUGUGAAGAAGGCCUUCGGGUUGUAAAGCACUUUCAGCGGGGAGGAAGGCGGUGAGGUUAAUAACCUCAUCGAUUGACGUUACCCGCAGAAGAAGCACCGGCUAACUCCGUGCCAGCAGCCGCGGUAAUACGGAGGGUGCAAGCGUUAAUCGGAAUUACUGGGCGUAAAGCGCACGCAGGCGGUCUGUCAAGUCGGAUGUGAAAUCCCCGGGCUCAACCUGGGAACUGCAUGCGAAACUGGCAGGCUAGAGUCUUGUAGAGGGGGGUAGAAGUCCAGGUGUAGCGGUGAAAUGCGUAGAGAUCUGGAGGAAUACCGGUGGCGAAGGCGGCCCCCUGGACAAAGACUGACGCUCAGGUGCGAAAGCGUGGGGAGCAAACAGGAUUAGAUACCCGUGUAGUC